Molecule: ribosomal RNA, 194 nt
Filed under: uncultured Rhodanobacter sp.
Lineage: Bacteria; Pseudomonadati; Pseudomonadota; Gammaproteobacteria; Lysobacterales; Rhodanobacteraceae
Description: partial 16S ribosomal RNA
Rfam family: Bacterial small subunit ribosomal RNA
Source: RNAcentral
CCUACGGGAGGCAGCAGUGGGGAAUAUUGGACAAUGGGCGCAAGCCUGAUCCAGCAAUGCCGCGUGUGUGAAGAAGGCCUUCGGGUUGUAAAGCACUUUUAUCAGGAGCGAAAUACCACGGGUUAAUACCCUAUGGGGCUGACGGUACCUGAGGAAUAAGCACCGGCUAACUUCGUGCCAGCAGCCGCGGUAAU